Molecule: transfer RNA, 78 nt
Filed under: Rhizomucor miehei CAU432
Lineage: Eukaryota; Fungi; Mucoromycota; Mucoromycetes; Mucorales; Lichtheimiaceae
Description: tRNA-Leu (TAA) (tRNA-Leu-TAA-2-1)
Rfam family: tRNA
About the family: Transfer RNA (tRNA) molecules are approximately 80 nucleotides in length.
Source: RNAcentral
GGCGCGGUAGUGUUAUCGGAAACACACCACUCCUAAGCUUAAACCUUGGUAUUCCUGGUUCGACUCCAGGCCGCGCCA